GUGGUUUAAUUCGAUGCAACGUCGAAAACCUUACCACCUUUGACAUGUACGGAACCCUUUAGAGAUAGAGGGUGCUCGAAGAGAGCCGUAACACAGGUGCUGCAUGGCUGUCGUCAGCUCGUGUCGUGAGAUGUUCGGGUUAAGUCCCGCAACGAGCGCAACCCUUGUCAUUAGUUGCUACAUUCAGUUGGGCACUCUAAUGAGACUGCCGGUGACAAACCGGAGGAAGUGGGGAUGACGUCAAGUCCUCAUGGCCCUUAUAGGUGGGGCUACACACGUCAUACAAUGGCUGGUACAGAGGGUUGCCAACCCGCGAGGGGGAGCUAAUCCCAUAAAACCAGUCGUAGUCCGGAUCGCAGUCUGCAACUCGACUGCGUGAAGUCGGAAUCGCUAGUAAUCGCGGAUCAGAAUGUCGCGGUGAAUACGUUCCCGGGUCUU
This 438-nucleotide ribosomal RNA is filed under the name uncultured Comamonadaceae bacterium. RNAcentral describes it as "bacterial SSU rRNA". It matches the Rfam family "Bacterial small subunit ribosomal RNA", at positions 941 to 1382 of the family's 1533-position model. Lineage: Bacteria; Pseudomonadati; Pseudomonadota; Betaproteobacteria; Burkholderiales; Comamonadaceae. The record is from RNAcentral.